CCCAAGAGGAGACCAGCGUCUACAACAGCACCCAGGGGUGCUACAACAGCACCCAGAGUCUACAGCAGCACCCAGGGGUGCUACAGCAGCACCCAGGGUCUACAGCAGCACCCAGCGUCUACAGCAGCACCCAGGAGGAGACCAGCGUCUACAACAGCACCCAGGGGUGCUACAGCAGCACCCAGAGUCUACAGCAGCACCCAGAGUCUACAGCAGCACCCAGAGUCUACAGCAGCACCCAGAG
Molecule: long non-coding RNA, 244 nt
Organism: Gadus macrocephalus (Pacific cod)
Lineage: Eukaryota; Metazoa; Chordata; Actinopteri; Gadiformes; Gadidae
Exons: 2
Source: RefSeq, a predicted model, not a curated record